Molecule: ribosomal RNA, 581 nt
Filed under: uncultured fungus
Lineage: Eukaryota; Fungi
Description: eukaryotic LSU rRNA
Rfam family: 5.8S ribosomal RNA (bases 225-376)
Source: RNAcentral
UCUUGGUCAUUUAGAGGAAGUAAAAGUCGUACAAGGUCUCCGUAGGUGAACCUGCGGAGGGAUCAUUACAGAGAAACUCCCCGCAAGGGUGACUCUCCAACCCUAUGUUAAUUAUACAUUUGUUGCUUGGCGAGCCGCUUCGGCCACCGGCUCACGCUGGUGAGUGCUCGCCAGAGACCCUAAACUCUGUUUAAUAAUGUCGUCUGAGUACUAUAUAAUAGUUAAACUUUCAACAACGGAUCUCUUGGUUCUGGCAUCGAUGAAGAACGCAGCGAAUGCGAUAAGUAAUGUGAAUUGCAGAAUUCAGUGAAUCAUCGAAUCUUUAACGCACAUUGCGCCCUGUGGUACUCCGCAGGGCAUGCCUGUUCGAGCGCAGUACAACACUCAAGCCUAGCUUGGUCUUGGGCCUCGCCGGAAACGGCGGACCUUAAAAUCAGUGGCGGCGCCUGUUAGGCCCUAAGCGUAGUAAUAUCCUCGCUACAGGGACCCGGCAGACGCUGGCCAGCAACCCCCAACUUUCAAGUUUGACCUCGGAUCAGGUAGGGAUACCCGCUGAACUUAAGCAUAUCAUAAGCGGAGGA